Molecule: long non-coding RNA, 214 nt
Filed under: Mus musculus (house mouse)
Lineage: Eukaryota; Metazoa; Chordata; Mammalia; Rodentia; Muridae
Description: long non-coding RNA chr4:106774815-106775029
Source: RNAcentral
UCCAGUGUAUUGGUGAAGCCUCAGCUACAUGGUCCUCAGGCCAAGCGUCUGCAGGGUCAUACUGUUGGUUCAUGGUGGCCCUGGGAGUUGCAGUUUCCUGUAAGUUUGGUAUGGCUGAACCAAGAAAGAAGGUAUAUGCAGAUUUCUACAGAAAAUAUGAUUCCGUGAAAGAUUUUGAAGAGAUGAGGAAGGCUAGUAUCAAAAUGCAAAGUGA